UACAGAGGUCUCAAGCGUUGUUCGGAUUCAUUGGGCGUAAAGGGUGCGUAGGCGGCGCGGUAAGUCGGGUGUGAAAUCUCGGAGCUUAACUCCGAAACUGCAUUCGAUACUGCGGUGCUUGAGGACUGGAGAGGAGACUGGAAUUCAUGGUGUAGCAGUGAAAUGCGUAGAGAUCAUGAGGAAGACCAGUGGCGAAGGCGGGUCUCUGGACAGGUCCUGACACUGAGGCACGAAGGCCAGGGGAGCAAACGGG
Molecule: ribosomal RNA, 253 nt
Filed under: uncultured bacterium
Lineage: Bacteria
Description: partial 16S ribosomal RNA
Rfam family: Bacterial small subunit ribosomal RNA
Source: RNAcentral